Molecule: ribosomal RNA, 334 nt
Filed under: Macellicephala sp. 180 PB
Lineage: Eukaryota; Metazoa; Annelida; Polychaeta; Phyllodocida; Polynoidae
Description: partial 16S ribosomal RNA
Rfam family: Bacterial large subunit ribosomal RNA
Source: RNAcentral
UUUGUACAAUAAAAAAUUAAACUUCAGGUGAAGAUGCCUGAAUCAUAUUGAAAGACAAGAAGACCCUAUAGAGUUUUAGUAAACUAACCCACCUCUCGUGAAAUAACUUUUGUUGGGGCGACAAGGAUUAAUAAAACCAUCCUAAAUAAACCGAAUACACCCUUCUAUGAUAUGACCCUUUUUAAAGAUCGCAGGAUAAACUACCUUAGGGAUAACAGGCUAAUCUCCUUUUAGAGUCCUAAUCGAAAAGGAGGAUUGGCACCUCGAUGUUGGCUUAGAGAACCCUUCUACUGCAACAGGUAUAAAGGAUAGUUUGUUCAACUAAUAACCCUCU